GGGCAAUUAACUCAGCUGGCAGAGUGCUAUCGUCACAUGGUAGAGGUCGGGGGUUCGAGUCCCUCAUUGCCCACCA
This 76-nucleotide transfer RNA is filed under the name Clostridiales bacterium. RNAcentral describes it as "tRNA-Val". It matches the Rfam family "tRNA". Rfam says of the family: Transfer RNA (tRNA) molecules are approximately 80 nucleotides in length. Their secondary structure includes four short double-helical elements and three loops (D, anti-codon, and T loops). Further hydrogen bonds mediate the characteristic L-shaped molecular structure. tRNAs have two regions of fundamental functional importance: the anti-codon, which is responsible for specific mRNA codon recognition, and the 3' end, to which the tRNAs corresponding amino acid is attached (by aminoacyl-tRNA synthetases). tRNAs cope with the degeneracy of the genetic code in two manners: having more than one tRNA (with a specific anti-codon) for a particular amino acid; and 'wobble' base-pairing, i.e. permitting non-standard base-pairing at the 3rd anti-codon position. Lineage: Bacteria; Bacillati; Bacillota; Clostridia; Eubacteriales. The record is from RNAcentral.